Long non-coding RNA from Tupaia belangeri chinensis (Chinese tree shrew), 1067 nucleotides. RefSeq lists it as uncharacterized. Lineage: Eukaryota; Metazoa; Chordata; Mammalia; Scandentia; Tupaiidae. The transcript is spliced from 3 exons. The record is from RefSeq and is a predicted model, not a curated record.
UACUCCCCCAGCUUUCAGCCGUAUGGCCAGACCCUUUUCUGUUCUCACAAAGAGACCUAUGACAUCACUUGCCCCUCAAACAGUCCCUUCCCCUCCCAGACUGCUCCCCAUCUGAAAAAGAGGGUGACUGACUAGAUUGGGGAUAGAAAAGGUUCUACUGGACAUGCUACUUCUGGUUGAUUGGUAUUACCUGCCUGUGUUGCAAAGGCUGCCAAAGCUGUGUUCAGGCACAAUGGGAGUGCUGUGAUUGAUUGAUGCAGACUACAGUAUAAGGAGUAACUGCCAAGAACAAGACCCAACACCACCAGAGCUUUUUGAGAAAUGUUUUAAAUCCAGUAAAAUGGAAAAGCAACCUUCUUUUCAGUCCACACUCCUUCAAAAGACUGACCAACAAGGAACCUUAAAUGGCUGCAACCUGUAGAGCGAGGGUGGCUAGGAGUCAGCCCACUUUUGUCAGGGAGCUAUAAGGAUGGUAUGGACCAUCAGACAAUCAAUCAACAGUUUCCUGAUUUCCUACUGUGUACUCAGCAGGUGCUCUCAGGGAGUGGACACCAGCUCUGUGCUUACAGACUUAGCAACUGUGCAGAGGAGAGCGGAGGUACAUAAAAGUCCUAUUUGUUGAGGCAGCAAAGUUGACACCAUAGCUGCUCUGGCAAGUCUGAGAAUUUCCUUUGAAAAGGCACAGCAAACAGCAACUCGAGACUCCAGUGAGCCAGAUAACAACUAAUCUCGGAAAUACACAGGCAGACUGAACCAGGUGUGGUGAUAUUCUUUCACCAGCUUCCAGGAACCAAAAUCAAUUCCACUGAAGGGUAGAGAGCUAAAAGGAACUCCCUCCUGCUGAGAAACAAAAGAGGAGUCCGAGGGCCUGAGCAGUUUUACCAGAGGCCACCCAUCUAUAAACUCAGUGCAAGAAGAAGGGGAGAAGCCAGAGUUCCAGCUCCCCCAUCCCUUGUCCUCUUCAAGUACCCGAGACUGGGAUCAUUGUAAAGGGCUUCCAGGCCUUAUGGGUCCUGGGAAGAAACUACCCCAGAAUAAGGUUUAAGCCCACUGUGGUUUAAAAUUGG